Molecule: long non-coding RNA, 4954 nt
Filed under: Triticum aestivum (bread wheat)
Lineage: Eukaryota; Viridiplantae; Streptophyta; Magnoliopsida; Poales; Poaceae
Description: long non-coding RNA (TAES_LNC015659)
Source: RNAcentral
CCGUAAUCUUGCCAGUCCUGUGAGUUGUGGAGCCCAGCCAGAGUGAUAUGCUGCCAAGACUUCCACCGCCAUUUAAUUAGACUUCCGCUAUCAUGUAAAUAGCCUUAGGGCUAUGCCAGAAGAUUAUAUUCAUCACUGAUGUAAUCAUAUACACAUGUAUUUGAUGAAUAUUCUUGUACCUGGAAUGUUGUAUCAUGGACCUGUCGUGCGUCAGGUGUUAUCCUGGGCUGACGUGUGAAGGCCCCCUGCUACAUGCGGACCAGGGUGCCACAGGGCUUGGUAUCAGAGCAGCCAGGCUAGCAUAGAUUAUCCUAGCAUUAGAUCACCGCCACCAUCAACCCGUAAUGACCCCAAAGGAUUUGACCCAUCCCUGGCGCCCGGCAUGGCCACUGUUAAUCAACAGGUGGCGCAGUCGGGACCGACACGUCCUCACCCCGCUGUCCCUGCCUAGUUAUCCGUGGAGCAACUAGCAACCCUAUCCUUUCUGGUCGGACGCACCGCUUUCCCUUCGCCAUUAAGGGAAAGGGGCCACGCCAUGCGGGCCUGUCCCGCGUAGCUGCCUAUAAAUACUAUUUCCGCUAGCUGUAUCGCUUGCUCCCCAGUCCGCCAUGUCCCUGUAGAGAAGCUUAGCUAGUAGCUCCCCAGUCAUGGCUAGCAGCUCCAAAACUUCCACGUAUUACACCCGCACCUAUGCCGUCAACCACCCUGGCUUUCCACCCCUUCUUGCCGAGAUGCUUACCAAAGCAUUUGGCGGUAAGACUAGCCCCGAUUACCUGGUGUUCCAAUCGACACUCUUCCCUCACAUUCAUCGCUUUGUUGCAAGAGUGCACAUCAGCUUAGGCCCUGCAGCAGAUGUCCAGCCUUUGGUUUUACAGGGUAGAGCCAUGCCUACCUCUGGUUUAGCCAUUCAAGCCGCUGCUGUGCAGGCUAUCCUACACCUCCGAACCAACUUCCCGCAUGUAGCAACAAGGCAGGAGUUCUGCUUCUUCCCCACUGUGUCAAACGCAGUAAUGCAGCCUUCUCCCAUUAGCCAAGAAGAUGAUCCCACAAUCCCUCGCCUGGUGCAAUACAUCACUGCCCAGAGGAUGUUGAUUUCAAUGCUGCUUGCCGAGUUUAGAGCCAUGGACAAUAAUGUGAUACAAGUCGUCAAGGAAGCUUACCGUGAGGCUCGUAAGUUCGCAUCUCAAGCUGUUUGCCCAAUGCCAUCUGAACCAGUGCUAUCCUCUCAACCUGUGUUGUGGCCCAAGCCAAACAUCAUCACCCUCGACAAGUCUCUUCUCCGAAUCCACCAGCAGCAUUUUCCUGGAGCAAUUUCAGCCCCACCGCCCCAACCCAUAGAAGUAUCAGAUGAUGAAGAUGGAGAUUGGCUUAGUCUUCGUCCUCCGGGAGAGCCCUAGCAAGGCCAGUCUUCUGCUUGACCUCAGUCACGCAGUCAGUGGUUUCUACUAGUAGGUCGGUCUGUCGGUUCAUCCUUGAUAUGAGGGUAGAACCAUGUAGCCCGCAACAAGUAGUUUCGCUUAGCGCGUAGUGCGUCUGUGCUUGUUGUAUGCUGGUACUGUUGUAACCCGUAUGCUGUGUUAUUUGCUUGCUUGCUUUUGUUUGUGUGUUUGUUUUUGCUUAUCUCUCUAUCAAACAAAAAUGUUUGACAGGGUUGGCAAUGUGUGCUAACAAGAUUUUAAUCAGUACGACACAUACACUAAAAACAACAUUGAAUCGUUCCGAGUCUCUAACAAAAUGCGCGCUGGUGUAGGUAUAUGUAUACCAGGAGUACAUAUACCAAAUUGUGUUUCCGGAGAAACACUGCUAGCUUUAUUUCUCGCGAUCCAUUACAACUCCCCUAUACAGAUUUCAACUCUGAUUCUACCUCAACCCUAAAUCAACUCUUGAGCUGGCGUAGCCACCUCACUUGCAUCCGAACCCUUCUCCACCACCAUCACUGCGUUGCGUGGUGCCGCAAGUCGCCACCACCGCUCCAUCGCAGCACGCGAUUACUCCACCGGCGUGAAGCGACGGAGAACCAAGCGUGGCGGAGGACCACCCCGCGCACCAUCUUCUUCCUCACCUCGAGCCACCAGCCACAUGUUGUCUCGAGCUCGCUCGUUCCUGAUGAGAAUCAUUAGGAGGAUCGACGAGCCGAUCAGCAUGCCCAGCAGUGCCGUGAGGAACAACCGUAGCGCCACCAAGAACACCUCCUCGCCGAAGGAGCUCGGCUCGAUCUCUCGCAAACCAAAGAGGUAGUAGAGUGGCAUUGUGUUUGUGUGUUGGAAGCAAGUCGUGCUGCAGUUUUUAUAGCCCAACCCCGGUGUACGGUGAGCGAAGUCCAGGAAACUCGCUCGUCGCCCGAUCACUGGCGUCUAGGAGGCGAAUCCGCGAGCAGUGCUGACAAUGUGCUGGCCCGCGACGUGAGUGCUCGCUGCACCGGCGCCGUGCACGCCGCGCACUACGGCACUAGGGUCCUCAUCACCCUAGGAGCUAGAUGCGCGCUGUGCCAAGCCGCACGCGAAGCAGGAGCACAGAAGAAGCAUCUAGCCGGGGGUAGAAGAAGGAGGCUGCUAGUGGACCCUGGACCCACGUGUCAGCAGGUGAGUCCACUGUUCACUGGGUGCAUCUAGCAAUUUUUCGAGAGUUUGAUCUCGAGUGCCCCUAGCUGUGGAUAUACCCAUGUUUUCCCAUAUCUCUUCCUGGGUGUACCAAUUAUCGGUGCCCCAACUCGUUUGAGUUUGACCAAAGGGUUAAAUUUAACCCAGAGAUUUUUCCCUGGAGUGGUUAUCUUUUCUUUGUGUUGUAACCCUAGGAAUCUCGAGGACGAGAUUCUUUUUAAGGGGGGGAGGUUAGUAACAGCCCCAAAAUUGGGUUAUCAAUUGUGCUAUUAUUCCUUCCUGGCACUCAUUUCCAAAAUCUUUCUCCUGAGUUUUGCUGAUGACCCUGAGAAUUCUUGUCAUUUCCAACCUUUCAAAACUUGCUCAUGUCUUUUUUCAGUGGGCAAGACCUCAGUUGCAUCAUCUUAAACCCUCUCAAACCCUAAUUCCAAUUUUUUGGGAUUUGAAUGUGGCCUUUGUGAUUACAAAGGAGCCAUCAUUUUCCUUGAUCUGUUGAUCACCCCAUCUGUUCAUAGAGACCCUCCUAUCCUUUUCAAUCUUGGAUACGCAAAAAUAUUGCCAAGUCCCAUGCAAUAUUUUUGAAUUGUGAUUUAUUCCUUUUCUUGCCUUUCUGAGGAAUAAAAUCAAAAGGCAUAGCUAGCCAUCUCCUAAAUUCAUGUGAACUGGUGGAGUUGAUAAUUAUGCCUAAUCCAAGCUCUGGCAAUUAUAGUGGCCAUAAUCAAAUAAGGAAAAUUGCCUUUUCUUAUUUAAUGCCAAUAUUCCAAUUCUGCCACUUUCUAAAGGAACUACUAUUUCUAUAGCAGGGAAAAUUCCCAUAUAAAUUGUGGAGCUUGUCCUUGCUAUAUAAUCACUAGUUCCAUCUUUAUAUCAUGUUCUACAGAUCAAAAAUUUGGCAAUGAUCCAAUGCAAGUUUCUACCUUCUCUGAAAUUUUGCAAAGGAAGUGCCUUAUCCCUAAUUCCUUUUGAGCUACAAAUUGGUAGGGUGAUUAAUAUUGAUAAAUAACCCAUGGAUACCAAAUAUGAUCUCAAUCCAAUCAUCGUAGCUCCUUGUGCAUUUUUUCAAAGUUUCUGACCAGAUUGUCACUUUGUGAAGGAAGUACCUUCAUGGAGUUUCCAAAUGGGAUGAAACUUUUCCAUCCUCUCAAGUAUCCCAAAUCAUUAGCCUUCACCCAAAGUCAGCUCAUUUCAUUGAGCUAUGUGAGCAUAGGAGCAAUUCUUGUUCUCUGUCCAAAUUUUCAGUUUGUGAAGCAAGUAUAUUUUAUCUUGCUCCAUUAUGGCUGAAAAUAAUUCCAAGCCUUCUCCUAUCCAUAUAAUCCACCUACCCAUGCCCUAAAUCAACUCCUAAGCUGUCGUAGCCACCUCACCUGCAUCCGAACGCUUCUCCACCACCAUCACUGCCUUGUGUGGUGUCGCAAGUCGCCACCACCGCUCCACCGCAGCACGCGAUUACUCCACCGACGCAAAGCGACGGAGAACCAAGCGUGGCGGAGGACCACCCCGUGCACCAUCUUCUUCCUCACCUCGAGCCACCAGCCACGCGUUGUCUCGAGCUUGCUCGUUCCUGAUGAGAAUCGCCAGGAGGAUCGACGAGCCAAUCAGCGUGCCCAACAGUGCCGCGAGGAACAACCAUAGCGCCACCAAGAACACCUCCUCGCUGAAGGAGCUUGGCUCGAUCUCACCUAAAUCAACUCCUGAGCAUUGGUAAGAGAGUCCGAGGGACUCGGUGCACAAGUUUGGUUGCAUUGCAUGAGUAGUGAGUUUUAUUUGCAUUUAAAGAACAUGAGAUGAUUGCAUGUUAUGUCUGCAUUGGAUAUGAUUGGUAGUUUAUGUUCAUCAUAGUUUCAUGAUACCAUGCCAUGUUUUGAUUGAGCUUAUGCCAUGUUAUUGCCAUGUGGUAGAUGCUAUGAUGUUGUUCAUGCUCAGUUGAUCUAUAUCAUGCCAUGCUUAGUUUAUGAUAUGAGAUAGGUUGUUGCAGACGCUUGGUUCUUGCUUUGUCAUCUGUUUGUUUGGAUGCUAUGUAUUUGGUUGUCUUGCAAGUACAUUCGGUGUACUGACAUGGCGUGUCAUGCCAGUUUUGUAGGUCGUACCCGAAUUGUUUGUUGUUCCGUCGUGCUAGGCCCUAAUCUUGCCAGUCCUGUGAGUUGUGGAGCCCAGCCAGAGUGAUAUACUGCCAAGACUUUCGCCGCCAUUUAAUUAGACUUCCGCUGUCAUGUAAAUAGCCUUAGGGCUAUGCCAGAAGAUUAUAUUCAUCACUGAUGUAAUCAUAUACACAUGUAUUUGAUGAAUAUUCUUGUACCUGGAAUGAUGUAUCAUGGACCUGUCAUGCAUCAGGUGUUAUCCUGGGCUGACGUGCG